AAAAUUGGGAACAAUAUCAAAGAGAAUAUAAGAUAUAGAUAUUUAAUUGAAAAUGUUAAAAAAAAGGACGAAACAUGUGUAAAAAUAAAGGUAAUUUAGAGCGUAAAGUUAACUGAAAUGACGACAAGAAGAGCGGAGUAAACUACAUCCGUGGUGUGAUUUGGUUGCGAUCAGCGAUGGAGAAACUUGAGUCGGUCUAGCUUACUAAGUUGAAAACGCAAUUGUUGAUCACAGAUUUCGACAGAAAUUCAAAGGAUCUGAGAGAAUUGAUGGUGGAUAUGAUGGGUCAAGUUAACGUUAAGCUCUUAGUCAGGUUUUUGGAAAGAAACAACGGUAUGUUCAUUGUUAGGACUCGCGGUUGUAGCCAUGCAGGAGACGAUUCAAGACAGUAGGACAGAUUUAGACCAAGUGCAGGAUUUUAAUGAAGACUCGCACCGGUACCCUGACAUGAACAUGUAAAUGUUUCGAGCCUCGAAACCAGCCUCGCUUAUAAUCAUGCCGAGUCAUAGCCGUGAUGGAAGUUGCCAGGAAACAACAGGCUAACUUAUCAUCAUGAAGUAAAUAUAUGUUGGCUUAUAACUCUGCCUACAUGUUUUCGCUUCCAAUAUCAUAGAACUUUAUUUUAUAAAUUCACCAUGCAGUAGUUGCAGACGGUAUUUAAAACUGUAUAAAAUGAAACAACAGAACGAUAUAUGUUUAAUGUUUCUCUUUUAUAAAUUGAUGAAAUUCUUGUUUGUUUACAAAAUAAACUGUAUAAAUAUCC
Ostrea edulis (European flat oyster) is the source of this 763-nucleotide long non-coding RNA. RefSeq lists it as uncharacterized. The record is from RefSeq and is a predicted model, not a curated record. The transcript is spliced from 2 exons. Lineage: Eukaryota; Metazoa; Mollusca; Bivalvia; Ostreida; Ostreidae.